Molecule: small nuclear RNA, 108 nt
Filed under: Pteropus vampyrus (large flying fox)
Lineage: Eukaryota; Metazoa; Chordata; Mammalia; Chiroptera; Pteropodidae
Source: RNAcentral
GUGCUCACUUCAGCAGCACACACACUAAAAUUGGAAUGAUACAUUGAUGACAAGCGUGGCCCCUCUGUCAAGGAUGACACACAAUUUCAUGAAGCAUCCUAUAUUUAA